RNAcentral lists this ribosomal RNA (424 nucleotides) under uncultured prokaryote. RNAcentral's name for it is "bacterial SSU rRNA". It matches the Rfam family "Bacterial small subunit ribosomal RNA", at positions 355 to 774 of the family's 1533-position model. The record is from RNAcentral.
UUAAGAAUCUUGCGCAAUGGGGGCAACCCUGACGCAGCGACGCCGCGUGGAUGAUGAAGGCCUUCGGGUUGUAAAGUCCGGUAAGCAGGGAAGAAUAAGCAACGGGAAAUAUUCGUUGUGAUGACGGUACCUGCCUAAAGCCCCGGCUAACUACGUGCUAGCAGCCGCGGUAAUACGUAUGGGGCGAGCGUUGUUCGGAAUUAUUGGGCGUAAAGGGCGUCUAGGCGGGGAAUUAAGUUAGGUGUGAAAGCCUCGGGCUCAACCCGAGAACUGCAUCUAAAACUGAUUCUCUUGAGUUCGGGAGAGGAGAGCGGAAUUCCAGGUGUAGCGGUGAAAUGCGUAGAUAUCUGGAAGAACACCAGUGGCGAAGGCGGCUCUCUGGCCUAGGACUGACGCUGAAGCGCGAAAGCGUGGGGAGCGAACA